GGGAAUGGCUGUAUCCAUGGUGGAUACCCUGGACUUCAAAUCCAGUGGCAGGCAGCUUUAGUUGUCUGUGGUGGGUUCGAUUCCCACAUAUUCCC
Molecule: transfer RNA, 95 nt
Filed under: Halobacteroides halobius DSM 5150
Lineage: Bacteria; Bacillati; Bacillota; Clostridia; Halanaerobiales; Halobacteroidaceae
Description: Selenocysteine transfer RNA
Rfam family: Selenocysteine transfer RNA
Source: Rfam by way of RNAcentral